AUGCCUAGAAGAGAGCAGCCACUUUGUGACCAUGAAGUUGGAGUCCGCACUACAGAAGAUCUGCCACUGAACAACGUGCACCUGGAAGAGGAGACAGAACACGUAAUCCUAAGAGAAAAAGGAAGGGAAGGGCUGAGCCACGCACGCCCUGUUCCUUCUUUCACAUUUUUCACUGAGGAAGAGCAAGUGAUAAGGUAAGUAGAGAGAGGCUGGGAAUGUUCCAGUGAUGGAUGGAUCUCCUUCCACAGCAGAAGGAAAUCUGUCCUCAACAUGGGGUCACGGAAACAUAAAACAGGUGAGCUCGAUAUUUGGAUGAGGCCCAUAUUGUCCAAAAUUGCCUUAGUAGUUUUGACUAAGACACACUUAAAGUCACGUGAUGUUUGCCUCACAAUCUUCCCUUUUUCUCUGAGUACAUGUUCACCCAACCACUGGGAAUUUUCUUUCAAUUGAUGUAUUUUGGUACCUCUCUAACAAUGGUGGAAAACAAUGCUUUGGUUAUUAUGAGGUUGAACUACAUGAAACUGAUGAUGUGUAAUAUUUACCCACCAAAAGCAUCAAUUUCAUGUAGCUCACCCUAAUAAAUAUAGAUAGAAUAUGAUGCAGAAUAUUUAUAAGAAAAUGAGAAGGAGAAAGGGAAACAAGGAAAGAGAGUGUUUGAAUAUUAAUCAAGUAAUUAAUCCAUGGUAAUUAGUUAUAGAUUUAGAAAAUAAAUUAAGUAUGUAGUGCAAAGUCCAUAAGCACUAUGAAUUUUGGUUGUGGAAUUAGACUGGAGGGCUCCAGGUUUGGCCUUUUGAAUGCUCUGUUUGAUUAGGAACCUUUGAUUCUAAGUGACAGAGUCAACCAACUAGCAGGAGCGGGAGGUAAGGAAAGGCCUGUAUCACUAGGAAAUAAGCUCUUCGAGGAAGGAACUGGGGUCUGUGUGGAGGGAGAACAUGUUGUAUUUAUCCAUGAUUACUCACUAGUUCUGACUUCAAGCUUAUCUUAAACUUUUUCACAGGUGGAAGUAAGAAAGAAAGGGAAGAAAGACUUAAUUUAAGACAGUAGUUAUCAAAGUCUGGUCAGUAAUCCCCUGGGGGUCCCUGAGGCCCUUUCAGAUAUUCUGAGAGUUCAGAAGUCUUCACAAUAAUACAAAUUUGUGAUAUACAUUUUCCAUUGAAAUGUUAUUGGUAAUCCAAAAAUAAUGAAGUAAAACUACUGGUGCUUUAGCACAAAUUGAGGUAGUGACACCAAACUAUAUUAGCAGUUAUUGUAUUCUUUUAUACUAUGCACUUACAUUGAAAAAAAAAAGGCAGCCUGGAGGCAGAGCAAAAUAGCUGAAUUAAAAACCUCUACUGAUUGUCCUCUCUGUGGCAACACCAAAUUGAACAACUAACCACACAAUAAAGCACCUUCAUAGUAACCAAAAGUCAGGUGAAGAGUCACAGUAUCUGGGUUUAAUUUCAUAUCACUGAAAGAGGCGCAGAAGAGAGUA
Molecule: long non-coding RNA, 1471 nt
Filed under: Callithrix jacchus (white-tufted-ear marmoset)
Lineage: Eukaryota; Metazoa; Chordata; Mammalia; Primates; Cebidae
Description: lncRNA (ENSCJAG00000077713.1)
Source: RNAcentral